Molecule: long non-coding RNA, 556 nt
Organism: Anopheles arabiensis
Lineage: Eukaryota; Metazoa; Arthropoda; Insecta; Diptera; Culicidae
Exons: 3
Source: RefSeq, a predicted model, not a curated record
CCAGCGGAUAUCGCUGGACCGAGUCUACCCAUCUCUCUCGAUCCACCAUGAUUUUUCUGCUAUCGCGCUCAUCCGGGUGUUAGGAAUCCUCAGUCUGUCCAGAACUUUCGUUGUGGAAGGAUGUACUGAAGUGAGGUGCGAUUUCUUGUGCAACGUACUUUGCUCAUUUACGUUUUGUGCCGUGUUCCUUCUUCCUCAGUUAUGGAAUGAUUUAUCCUAGCAAAUUGUUGAGGUGUGUGCGCUAUUUAUCAACGACUACCUGCUAGCCUCGUCAACAAUCUUCAAAGUGAGCGACGGAAAGAAAACGUUUUCCAGUUUUAAAAUAUUAAGCCCCCGGUGAGGACGUCAUUACUUAACAGAAGCCGGUUCAACACGCGCAGCAUGGAUGGUACCACGAGCGCAGUAGGAGGAAGGAAGAACGAGAGGAGGAAGAACGGUAAAUUUGGAAGGGGGUAAGCGUUCUGCCGUCUACACAGCGGGAGUAUCCCAAAACACAUGUGGGAAGGGAGAGGGAUAUUAUUCAAUAAACAGCAUGCGAAUGUGUGCAUAAAGCAAA